Molecule: ribosomal RNA, 501 nt
Filed under: Bifidobacterium adolescentis JCM 15918
Lineage: Bacteria; Bacillati; Actinomycetota; Actinomycetes; Bifidobacteriales; Bifidobacteriaceae
Description: bacterial SSU rRNA
Rfam family: Bacterial small subunit ribosomal RNA
Source: RNAcentral
GGGAAAGAUUCAGCGGUAUGGGAUGGGGUCGCGUCCUAUCAGCUUGAUGGCGGGGUAACGGCCCACCAUGGCUUCGACGGGUAGCCGGCCUGAGAGGGCGACCGGCCACAUUGGGACUGAGAUACGGCCCAGACUCCUACGGGAGGCAGCAGUGGGGAAUAUUGCACAAUGGGCGCAAGCCUGAUGCAGCGACGCCGCGUGCGGGAUGACGGCCUUCGGGUUGUAAACCGCUUUUGACUGGGAGCAAGCCCUUCGGGGUGAGUGUACCUUUCGAAUAAGCACCGGCUAACUACGUGCCAGCAGCCGCGGUAAUACGUAGGGUGCAAGCGUUAUCCGGAAUUAUUGGGCGUAAAGGGCUCGUAGGCGGUUCGUCGCGUCCGGUGUGAAAGUCCAUCGCUUAACGGUGGAUCCGCGCCGGGUACGGGCGGGCUUGAGUGCGGUAGGGGAGACUGGAAUUCCCGGUGUAACGGUGGAAUGUGUAGAUAUCGGGAAAGAACACCA